This 497-nucleotide ribosomal RNA is filed under the name uncultured bacterium. RNAcentral describes it as "partial 16S ribosomal RNA". It matches the Rfam family "Bacterial small subunit ribosomal RNA", at positions 28 to 507 of the family's 1533-position model. The record is from RNAcentral.
GAUGAACGCUGGCGGCGUGCCUAAUACAUGCAAGUCGAGCGAACAGACGAGGAGCUUGCUCCUCUGACGUUAGCGGCGGACGGGUGAGUAACACGUGGAUAACCUACCUAUAAGACUGGGAUAACUUCGGGAAACCGGAGCUAAUACCGGAUAAUAUAUUGAACCGCAUGGUUCAAUAGUGAAAGACGGUUUUGCUGUCUCUUAUAGAUGGAUCCGCGCCGCAUUAGCUAGUUGGUAAGGUAACGGCUUACCAAGGCGACGAUGCGUAGCCGACCUGAGAGGGUGAUCGGCCACACUGGAACUGAGACACGGUCCAGACUCCUACGGGAGGCAGCAGUAGGGAAUCUUCCGCAAUGGGCGAAAGCCUGACGGAGCAACGCCGCGUGAGUGAUGAAGGUCUUCGGAUCGUAAAACUCUGUUAUGAGGGAAGAACAAAUGUGUAAGUAACUAUGCACGUCUUGACGGUACCUAAUCAGAAAGCCACGGCUAACUACGUG